RNAcentral lists this ribosomal RNA (253 nucleotides) under uncultured bacterium. RNAcentral's name for it is "partial 16S ribosomal RNA". It matches the Rfam family "Bacterial small subunit ribosomal RNA", at positions 524 to 776 of the family's 1533-position model. The record is from RNAcentral.
UACGAAGGGGGCUAGCGUUGCUCGGAAUCACUGGGCGUAAAGGGUGCGUAGGCGGGUCUUUAAGUCAGGGGUGAAAUCCUGGAGCUCAACUCCAGAACUGCCUUUGAUACUGAAGAUCUUGAGUUCGGGAGAGGUGAGUGGAACUGCGAGUGUAGAGGUGAAAUUCGUAGAUAUUCGCAAGAACACCAGUGGCGAAGGCGGCUCACUGGCUUGGUAUUGACGCUGAGGCGCGAAAGCGUGGGGAGCAAACAGG